AGUUGGGAAUCUUGGACAAUGGGCGAAAGCCUGAUCCAGCCAUGCCGCGUGAGUGAUGAAGGCCUUCGGGUUGUAAAGCUCUUUUGCCAGGGACGAUAAUGACUGUACCUGGAGAAUAAGCCCCGGCUAACUUCGUGCCAGCAGCCGCGGUAAUACGAAGGGGGCUAGCGUUGUUCGGAAUUACUGGGCGUAAAGCGUGCGCAGGCGGUUUCUCAAGUCAGGGGUGAAAGCCCGGAGCUCAACUCCGGAAUUGCCUUUGAAACUGUGAAGCUAGAGUGCGGGAGAGGUGAGUGGAAUUCCCAGUGUAGAGGUGAAAUUCGUAGAUAUUGGGAAGAACACCGGUGGCGAAGGCGGCUCACUGGCCCGUUUCUGACGCUCAUGCACGACAGCGUGGGGAUCAAA
RNAcentral lists this ribosomal RNA (402 nucleotides) under uncultured Rhizomicrobium sp. RNAcentral describes it as "bacterial SSU rRNA". It matches the Rfam family "Bacterial small subunit ribosomal RNA", at positions 353 to 772 of the family's 1533-position model. Lineage: Bacteria; Pseudomonadati; Pseudomonadota; Alphaproteobacteria; Micropepsales; Micropepsaceae. The record is from RNAcentral.